Hippocampus comes (tiger tail seahorse) is the source of this 1637-nucleotide long non-coding RNA. RefSeq lists it as uncharacterized. Lineage: Eukaryota; Metazoa; Chordata; Actinopteri; Syngnathiformes; Syngnathidae. The record is from RefSeq and is a predicted model, not a curated record. The transcript is spliced from 2 exons.
UGUUAUUGUUAUUAUUACUAUUACAGCGAAUAAUGAUAACCAUAACAAUGAUAUGAUUUUAUUUUUAGUGGUAGUGUAGUAAUAAUAGUAGGAGUGGUAUACAUAUUAAAAUGAAUUAAACGGCAACAUGAAAUCAGAAUAAAUAUCGAUUAACACAAUAUAGAAAAGAGGUGAUCAAACUUCUUCCGCCCUUCUUGCCCCUCCCCCUUGUUUUUAUUGUAGAAAGAUAAGUAACUCCAAGUGUUCCCUUUAUUUUUUGAUAUCUCUGUAGUCUGGUUUUACAAUGAUUAAAAUAUUGUGAUGUCAUUAACAUUGUGUAAUAUUUUGGUGACGUCAAUCAAUUAAUUAAUCAAAAAUAUAGUAGAAAAUACCUGUAAAUAUGCUGCAGUAUAGUUUUACACCACAGGCAUAUAUUACUUUAAUGUCAUUUUAAUAGCAUGUAGGCCACAGAUAAUUUUUCAAUGAUGUUCCUUUCCAUCAUCCCUGUUAUAAUGAUGCUCAGAUUUCUUUCUCUGUUUUCUUUUCUUUUUUCAUGCGAGCAACAUGAUGCAUGAAGGAGCAGUAAAAUUUUUAAAGGUCAUUCGGAUUACGAGGCACAAUUAAAGGGAAUUUUGGGUGUCCUUUCCAAUUAAGCCACCAGAUGGAGGCGAAUCCUACAUUGUGAAGCAUUAGUAGCUAAUUAACAAUGAGUACCCAACACACGAGGAGGCCGUGUGGCCAUCGCUGCCUCAUGCUGGUCUCUGUCCUUUCCGUCAUCUCUGUUGCAGGAUGCAGUCUUGCCGCCUGUAGGGUGACAUAGCUUUGUAAUGUGAGUCAAUGGAGUUGAUGUUGGAUGUGGAUGUUUUGCAGACUGCGUUGAUGUGAACUGCGGCUGCUCUCCUCGGGCCUCCUGGUCGUGCCUGUUGGCCGAGUGGGAUUUGGUGAUCCGCUUCAGCACCGCGGACAGCAGCUUAUAUCACUCUAAUGAUCGCCAGUGAAGCCCAUCAUCCAUCCAUUUUCUGUAUCGCUUGUCCUCACAGAGGUCACGGGUGAACUAGAGCCUAGCCUAGUUGACUUUGGGAAAGAGGCGGACUACACUCUGAAUUGGUUGCCACUUAAUCCCGGGCCAUUUAUAUGAUUUACAACCGCUCACACUCACAUUCACGUCUACAGACAGUUAGUCAAUAUAAUGUGUAUGUUUUUGGAAAGUGGGAGGAAGCUCCAGUACCCCAGAGAAAACACAAGCAAGCUCAGGGAAUACAUGCAAACUCCACACAGGAAGACUCAAACCUCAGAACUGUGAGGUAAAUGUGCUAACAGUAAUCCAUUGAACAAACCCCAUAAUUAUUGUUACCAGUAGAGUAGCAUUAGCCUUAGUAUUAAAAUAUUCCUGCUGAUAUUAUGACAUUAAAUGUUUACUUUUUACCUGAAUGCAUUAAUACAAAGUAUAUUUAUCCACAAUAAUGAAUUUCAAUGAAUCCACCUCCAGUCAGUCUGUUUGCAUCCUAUUUUUAAUCAAAACGUGGCCAUGAUGUUCCUUGUAUUUCAUUGUAAGUAACGUUACAAAAGACCUAAUAAUGAACCAACAUUUAAACAUGAUAAUAAUGAUAUGAAUGAUUUCUCCAGUGCUCAAAAUUAAAGUGUUAAUGCAUAUCAAC